GGACUACUGGGGUUUCUAAUCCUGUUCGCUCCCCACACUUUCGCUCCUCAGCGUCAGAACAGGCCCAGAGAACCGCCUUCGCCACCGGUGUUCCUCCUGAUAUCUGCGCAUUUCACCGCUACACCAGGAAUUCCGUUCUCCCCUGCCUGCCUCCAGCCAGCCCGUAUCCACUGCAGGCCCGGGGUUAAGCCCCGGGAUUUCACAGCGGACGCAACUGGCCGCCUACGAGCUCUUUACGCCCAAUAAUUCCGGACAACGCUUGCGCCCUACGUAUUACCGCGGCGGCUGGCAC
Molecule: ribosomal RNA, 292 nt
Filed under: uncultured bacterium
Lineage: Bacteria
Description: partial 16S ribosomal RNA
Source: RNAcentral